This 66-nucleotide transfer RNA is filed under the name Stichopus monotuberculatus. RNAcentral's name for it is "tRNA-Cys". RNAcentral also lists the same sequence under 1 other name. The record is from RNAcentral. Lineage: Eukaryota; Metazoa; Echinodermata; Holothuroidea; Aspidochirotida; Stichopodidae.
GGUCUUAAGGUGUCCAACAUAUUUAAUUGCAAAUUAAAAGUUACUGGUUAGCGCCAGUUAAGACUU